AUUGAACGCUGGCGGCAGGCCUAACACAUGCAAGUCGAGCGGAAACGAGUUAACUGACCCUUCGGGUGACGUUAACGGCGUCGAGCGGCGGACGGGUGAGUAAUGCCUGGGAAAUUGCCCUGAUGUGGGGGAUAACCAUUGGAAACGAUGGCUAAUACCGCAUAAUGCCUUCGGGCCAAAGAGGGGGACCUUCGGGCCUCUCGCGUCAGGAUAUGCCCAGGUGGGAUUAGCUAGUUGGUGAGGUAAUGGCUCACCAAGGCGACGAUCCCUAGCUGGUCUGAGAGGAUGAUCAGCCACACUGGAACUGAGACACGGUCCAGACUCCUACGGGAGGCAGCAGUGGGGAAUAUUGCACAAUGGGCGCAAGCCUGAUGCAGCCAUGCCGCGUGUGUGGAGAAGGCCUUCGGGUUGUAAAGCACUUUCAGCAGUGAGGAAGGCGGGUACGUUAAUAGCGUGCUCGUUUGACGUUAGCUGCAGAAGAAGCACCGGCUAACUCCGUGCCAGCAGCCGCGGUAAUACGGAGGGUGCGAGCGUUAAUCGGAAUUACUGGGCGUAAAGCGCAUGCAGGUGGUUCGUUAAGUCAGAUGUGAAAGCCCGGGGCUCAACCUCGGAACUGCAUUUGAAACUGG
This 629-nucleotide ribosomal RNA is filed under the name uncultured bacterium. RNAcentral's name for it is "bacterial SSU rRNA". It matches the Rfam family "Bacterial small subunit ribosomal RNA", at positions 28 to 636 of the family's 1533-position model. The record is from RNAcentral.